CUAGUUGGUAAGGUAACGGCUUACCAAGGCUACGAUGGGUAGGGGUCCUGAGAGGGAGAUCCCCCACACUGGUACUGAGACACGGACCAGACUCCUACGGGAGGCAGCAGUGAGGAAUAUUGGACAAUGGGCGCAAGCCUGAUCCAGCCAUGCCGCGUGCAGGAUGACGGUCCUAUGGAUUGUAAACUGCUUUUAUACGAGAAGAAACACUACUUCGUGAAGUAGCUUGACGGUAUCGUAAGAAUAAGGAUCGGCUAACUCCGUGCCAGCAGCCGCGGUAAUACGGAGGAUCCAAGCGUUAUCCGGAAUCAUUGGGUUUAAAGGGUCCGUAGGCGGUUUAAUAAGUCAGUGGUGAAAGCCCAUCGCUCAACGGUGGAACGGCCAUUGAUACUGUUAAACUUGAAUUAUUAGGAAGUAACUAGAAUAUGUAGUGUAGCGGUGAAAUGCUUAGAGAUUACAUGGAAUACCAAUUGCGAAGGCAGGUUACUACUAAUGGAUUGACGCUGAUGGACGAAAGCGUGGGUAGCGAACAGGAUUAGAUACCCUGGUAGUCCACGCCGUAAACGAUGGAUACUAGCUGUUGGAAGCAAUUUCAGUGGCUAAGCGAAAGUGAUAAGUAUCCCACCUGGGGAGUACGUUCGCAAGAAUGAAACUCAAAGGAAUUGACG
This 668-nucleotide ribosomal RNA is filed under the name uncultured Bacteroidota bacterium. RNAcentral's name for it is "SSU rRNA". It matches the Rfam family "Bacterial small subunit ribosomal RNA", at positions 245 to 915 of the family's 1533-position model. The record is from RNAcentral. Lineage: Bacteria; Pseudomonadati; Bacteroidota.